This 442-nucleotide ribosomal RNA is filed under the name uncultured bacterium. RNAcentral's name for it is "partial 16S ribosomal RNA". It matches the Rfam family "Bacterial small subunit ribosomal RNA", at positions 338 to 795 of the family's 1533-position model. The record is from RNAcentral.
CCUACGGGAGGCAGCAGUGGGGAAUAUUGGGCAAUGGGCGCAAGCCUGAACCAGCCACGCCGCGUGAAGGAAGAAGGCUUUCGGGGUGUUAAAUUCUUUUUAGCGGGAAGCGCAGAACACGGUACCUCUUGCAUCAGCCACGGCUAAAUACGUGCCAGCAGCCGCGGUAAUACGGAGGGGGCACGCGUUAUCCGGAUUUACUGGGUGUAAAGGGAGCGUAGACGGCAGUGCAAGUCUGGAGUGAAAGGCGGGGGCUCAACCCCCUGACUGCUCUUGAAACUGUACGGCUGGAGUGCAGGAGAGGUAAGUGGAAUUCCUAGUGUAGCGGUGAAAUGCGUAGAUAUGAGGAGGAACCCCAGUGGCGAAGGCAGCUUACUGGACUGUAACUGACGUUGAGGCUCGAAAGCGUGGGGAGCAAACAGGAUUAGAUACCCGUGUAGUC